Molecule: long non-coding RNA, 265 nt
Organism: Ornithorhynchus anatinus (platypus)
Lineage: Eukaryota; Metazoa; Chordata; Mammalia; Monotremata; Ornithorhynchidae
Exons: 2
Source: RefSeq, a predicted model, not a curated record
GCUAAAGUUGCUCUUCUGCCUCUUGUGGGUUCAUUUUUCGGCCUUUACACCGGUACCAGGCCUGCCACAUGAUUCUCAGUUCUGAUCCAGUGGCUGACCCAACACACACAGAUGUACACACAACUGACGGUCUCAUGAACUAUGCUUCUUGUUGACCCUUUAUUCAUCUUGGCAAAAUCAACCUGCCAUAUCUGCGUAUGCCCCAUUCUGCUCAGUGUCAACAACUCAGUAAUUAUUUCACAAAUAAAGAAAACCUUGUUUUUGA